ACCUCCCACUUCCCAAGGCCUGAGCCUGCAUAGGAUUUGGAGACUAAGGAGGCGUGUGCGCGCAGGCGCACGGGCACUGAAAACAUGGCGGCGGCCGAGCGGGCGUGGGGGGCUGCAGCUGGUGUAGCUCGGCUGUGCAGGCGGUUCUGUCAUGUGACUCCGUACACCUUUAAGAAACAACCUCUGCACCAAUAUGUGCGAAGACCACCUUUCCUGAUGUGUGCACCCUUGUUUAACCCAGUGCGAUUCAUGUUUAUUCAAACACAAGACACCCCAAAUCCCAACAGCUUAAAGUUUAUACCAGGAAAGCCAGUUCUUGAGACGAGGACCAUGGACUUCCCCACGCCAGCCGCAGCUUUCCGCUCCCCUCUGGCCAGGCAGUUAUUCAGGAUUGAAGGAGUAAAAAGUGUCUUCUUUGGGCCAGAUUUCAUCACAGUCACAAAGGAAAAUGAAGAAUUAGACUGGAAUUUACUGAAACCAGAUAUUUAUGCAACAAUUAUGGACUUCUUUGCGUCUGGCUUACCUCUAGUGACUGAGGAAACACCCCCAGGAGAAGCAGGUUCUGAGGAAGAUGAUGAGGUGGUGGCAAUGAUUAAAGAACUGUUGGACACUAGGAUACGGCCUACUGUGCAGGAGGAUGGUGGUGACGUGAUCUACAGAGGCUUUGAAGAUGGCAUUGUGCGGCUGAAACUCCAGGGCUCCUGCACCAGCUGCCCCAGCUCCAUCAUCACCCUGAAAAGCGGGAUUCAGAACAUGUUGCAGUUUUAUAUUCCAGAAGUGGAAGGUGUAGAGCAGGUGAUGGAUGAUGAGUCAGAUGAAAAAGAAGCAGAUUCACCUUAAAUAAUCUGCAUUUUCUUUGGCCGAAACCUUUGGAUCUAACUGUACAGAGCCUUAUUAAUCUCUGCAAUGGAGGUGUGAUGGUGGAGGUACAAGGUAGACAUUUUCCAUUGCCAUGUGCACAGCCCCUGUAUUGGUCUGCUUUCGGGGUUCUGGACCCUCAUCACAGAGGGAGGAGGCACUAGUGCCGUCUGCUGGGUAAGGAUCUUCCCUGCUUGUCUUCAGUGCAGAGCUGCAGUAGACCAGAUCAGUAGGGCAUGCAUGUGGGUCUGUUUCACCACCAAAUAGGUUCCUACUCUGCACUGCCUCUCACACUUAAUGUCAGCUAAUAAAUCCCCCUCUCCCUCCAGUUUACAUGGGUUUCUGUUGUCAUUUGUAAAGUUUGGAAAAAAUCAAUAAAAUUACUGGUUUUCCAGAGUG
Cricetulus griseus (Chinese hamster) is the source of this 1257-nucleotide non-coding RNA. Lineage: Eukaryota; Metazoa; Chordata; Mammalia; Rodentia; Cricetidae. The record is from RefSeq and is a predicted model, not a curated record.